AUGGGGCUCAGUUCUAGUAGCAAAAGAAGAUGGGAGAAUAGGCCUUGGGUAUAACUAUCAGUCUCUGCAAUAGGCGGCAAGAUGGUGUUCACAAAGGCCAACAUUUUUCAUGGCGAGAUGUCUAGAAUUUGAACUUUAGAAUGAUCCUUCUGGUCAAUUUAAAUCUGCUGUGAAGCAAGUUGCCCACCUACAGGACAUGGAAUGGAAGGACAUGGAAGAUACAAAUAGAGUCGGACAAGAAAGACUUUACCUAACUCUGGAGGAAUCAGCUUUGAGGAGACCUACAAAGGUUUUACAGAUGUGAAAAUUAAGAAACAGAGAGAAGAGACUAUUCAAAGCAGUUGAACACUGGAUAAGAGCUGGAUUUGAGUUUGACAGCCCUGAGUUCCAAUCCUGGUUCCAUCACACACUCGCUAAAUGACCUUGGCAAAGUAGUUGACUCUCUGUGAAUCUCUCUUAAGGCCAUUCAGGCUAACUAAGAUUUAGUUACCUAAGUUUUAAAAAUUAACCAUGUAGGCUGAGAGUCUACGCAUUUGAAUAUUCAUUAAAUCA
Molecule: long non-coding RNA, 552 nt
Organism: Homo sapiens (human)
Lineage: Eukaryota; Metazoa; Chordata; Mammalia; Primates; Hominidae
Exons: 4
Source: RefSeq, a predicted model, not a curated record